This 1499-nucleotide long non-coding RNA is filed under the name Bemisia tabaci. Its description in RNAcentral is "lncRNA ENSSSA3NGG005776". Lineage: Eukaryota; Metazoa; Arthropoda; Insecta; Hemiptera; Aleyrodidae. The record is from RNAcentral.
AUGGCGGGUCACAGUGACCCACCAGCCGAGUGGGCGAGAAAACUUCGCCGCCGAGACAGUUUCCCGAGUUCAUUGUCAGUAGUGCAAAUCUCACUCAGUGAUGCAUUUGAAGGUCCUUUUCGCGUUGGUGAUUUUGUUUGCCGUUAGGUUCCGGGCGGCGGCGACCUCCUCGAGCGACGAGCGGACGAGAGAGCGGCAGAACGGAUUCAAAGGGAAGAACUACCCUCUGGGGGCGCCCAAUUCCAACUCGCGGAAGCUCCAACGCGAGGAGUCGACCAGCGGAGAGAGCGAGGAGAACGAGAAAGACACCCGUGACCGGGCCCAACUCCCGGCCCCUGCUCACUCGCACAGGGGUCACCGACACCCCCUGGGGCCCGCCGGCGCUGGGGGAGGUGUAGGAGGAGGCGGAGGGGGUGGCGCCCCUUUCUCCCAGUAUAGCUACGGAUACUCGAUCCCCGACCAUGAGUUCGACCACAACCAGAAUCAAGGCCGGUACCAUAAUGAGGGUUCGCAAAACUACCAGCGGCCGACCCCACCUCAGCAUUUCUUCCACCACAGCCCUUACGACCGGUUCCAGCAGUACGACUACGACGCGGAGCGAGAGCGGGCGGCCAAGUCGGGACCUGAAGCGCCGCCACCCCCGCGGGCCCACCAACCCCACCACCCCCACCAGGGCCACCAGGGCGUCCCUGCCUUGCGGCACGUGAUCCCGGUGGCGCGGCUGGCGUCGCCGUUCCCGUACCCGCUGGGCUACUCGCCGCCGGUGACGCCCUUCGGGUUCCUCCCCCACUUGGCGCCCCCGAUCACCUACCUGGCCCAGCCAACGCCCGUCAUCUCCCAGUCCGUCCCGGCCGUCGUCGCCUCCGCCACGCACGGCGCCCAGAUCGCCCUCCCCGUCGCCCACGCCGGCGUCGCUGACGUCCCCUACCACGUCACCACCGCCGGGGACGAGACCCAGCUCCAAGCCCACCAACAGUGAGCGUCGUGCGAGGAUAAAACUUCCGGUACACAUUGAGAGAAAUUAGGUUCUUGAUGUAACCGGAGUAGUCAUAUUGAUACAGCUUUCCCGGGUCUGCAAAAGGAAACAUUGCUCAUACUCCGAUAUUUACCUGACUUACAAUGGAGACGUUGCAUGUGUGAGGAAUUUGCGAUUUGACAAUUGAUUCAUAUGUAAAAGUUCGCGAGAAACACGAUGGUGCCACUGGUUUUCUCUGAAAUUAACUCCCAAGCUCAAAAAAAGCUCUCAAGUUGAGGCCAAAAUGGAGGGAAUAUCCCACGUUACCCCGAGAGUCCACCUCUACAUUAAGACAAACUCUCCAUGCAAAGAUAGGGAGCAAAUACAUUGACAGGGCUGCCACUUUAUUUGGAGACCUCAAUGUGAAAUCACGGCAACCCUGUCAACGUAUUUGCUCCCUAUCUUUGCAUGGAGAGUUUGUCUUGAUGUAAAGGUGGACUCUCAGGAUAGCGUGGGAUAUCCCCUCCAUUUUGGCUACAACUUG